This is a long non-coding RNA of Brassica rapa (field mustard), 2616 nucleotides long. RefSeq lists it as uncharacterized. The record is from RefSeq and is a predicted model, not a curated record. NCBI's taxonomy places the organism in Eukaryota, Viridiplantae, Streptophyta, Magnoliopsida, Brassicales, Brassicaceae.
AUUUGGGUUUGUGAUUUGAAAAUUAGGAUAACUAGACUAUUUGUGCACAGAUGAAUACUCUUUAAGAAUUUUUCAUCAAUAUUUUGUAUUUUUAAAUAAUUUUCUUAAAAACCUCUAUUUUUGGAAUGUUUUCAUUUUACAGAUAAAUAUUGUAGAUUUGGGUUUGUAAUUUAGAAAUUAGGAUAACUAGACUAUUUGUGGACAGAUGAAUACUCUUUAAGAAAUUUUCAUCAAUAUUUUGUAUUUUUAAAUAAUUUUCUUAAAAACUGUUAUUUUUGGAAAGUUUUCAUUUUUUUCAAAAAAUAUUAUAGUUAUUGGUUUGUGAUUUAUUAAUUAGGAUAACAAGAAUAUCUGUGGAUAAAUGAGUAUUUUUUCGGUGUUUUUCAUCAAUAGGUUGUAUUUUUAAAUAAUUUUCUUAAAAACUGCUAUUUCUGGAAAGUUUUCGUUUUAUACAUAAAUAUUUUAGAUUUGGGUUUUGUGAUUUAAAAAUUAGGAUAGCUAUACUAUUUUUGGACAGAUAAAUACUCUUUAAGAAAUUUUCAUCAAUAUAUUGUAUUUGAAAAUAAUUUUCUUAAAAACUGCUAUUUUUGAAAAGUUUCAUUUUAUAGAUAAAUAUUGUAGAUUUGGGUUUGUGAUUUGAAAAUUAGGAUAACUAGACUAUUUGUAGACAGAUGAAUACUCUUUAAGAAAUUUUCAUCUAUAUGUUGUAUUUUUAAAUAAUUUUCUUAAAAUUGCUAUUUUUGAAUUCUUUCAACCUUGUUUAAUACACUAGGAUUCAACUUGUUUUUCAAUAGACUAUUGUACUCUUUCAACUAUCAAAUUUUUUUAUUCAAUAAGCAUUGUAGAUAGUCUAAAUGGUCUAAUAAUCAUUUUCAUAUAGGGACGUAUAAAACGAAGUCAAGUCGACGAUAAUAACAAAUUGGUUCUAUGGUCUAGCGGUUAGGACAUAUGACUCUGAAUCCAGUAACCCGAGUUCAAUUCUCGGUAGAACCUCUUUUUUAUCCUUUUUAUGUUUUUGUCCAACUUACUGAAGCUUUCCCACGUGCAAAUUAAAAACUCAACGGUCAUUCUAGUCCACUCGUACGAUAUCAGAACAGAUCCAAUAAGAAAGUGAGCAAAUUUAAACCAAAAAAAACUUUCCCUAUAUAACAUUUAACACACACACACACCUGAGUACUCUCGCUUUUGUGCUUACUAAACAAUAGAGUAACAAGUACCCAAUGUUACAUUCAAACAAUACUAAACAGGAUUCUUUAUUUCAAGGCUUUCAACCGAACCAGUUGAGAAGGAGAUAGUACCUAUGAACUAGAGAGGUGGUGAACACUCAUGAUGCAAAUAAGCUAGUCCCUCAGGGCCUCAGCCGCAACAAGAGCAAUUUUCAACCUCGUUAUCCAAUCCCAUGACUUUAAUCCAUCACAUUCAUUGUCUGACUUCCUAACAAAGCGCUAGCCAAAUCUCCGUUCUUCAUAUACUUAACCGUUCCAGGAGUUGAAAGUCUUUUUAACCGUUCCAUCAAUACGCCAUUGAGAUAAUCAUUUCCAGCAGACAGAGGAUGAUCAAUCGAAAAUUCCUGGAGACGAACCUGAUUAUCUGGCUUGUAGGAGGCAAUAGCCAAAGCAUUACCACGAUAUGUACAAGAUACUGUUGAAUUGAUAAGAAUCUCGAGCCUAGACGGACCAUUAGAACUAAGAAAGUUGAUAAGUGGGCCGAAAGUUGAUUAGUGGAAUCACCAUUACGAAUCCGAAUAUAUAAGAACCUCAAUGCUUUAUGUCUCAACUUUAGAACCCGCCUAAACAUACAUAAGAAGGCCUAUUUUAAAAAACUUUGCAUUGCCAUUUUGAAUUUGGAUUUGAUAGUCAUUCACUAUGUAUGAGUCUAAGCUCGUGACUCGAUUUCGUCUUUAUGCAUUUUCAUUCAGGUAAUGCCUUUUAUCUUGUUUUUAGAUUUUUUGAAUUAUAAUUUAUUGGAUAUAGGUGAAACUUUACACCUAUAUGAUAGACAAGUAGUCCCUUACAAAACUAGUUUACCCAAAAGCAAAUGAAAGGAAGUUAAACAAAUUAUUUGAAUACACUUAAAUUGUGUUGAGUUGGCAAAAUUUAGUAACAUUUACAACUUUCUACUAUACUAAAUUAGUAAGACAAAAUAAAUAAAUAUUGAUGGCCCGUUUAUAUAUAUCCUCUAUAAUAAUUGUAGCCUUGUAGCAGACAAAAUUAAAAUUUUAUUUCUGAAAUUAAUUUCGUACCUACAAAAAUACAAACAGUUUAGACAGCACACAACAUCCACACAAAGUCUCAAGGCCUACAUUAGAACUGCAGUCCAUACAUGACUAGUCUACUUAAAAUGAACAAUUAAAUAAUUAUUUUUGAUACCCUAAAGAUUGUGUCGAGUUGUCAAAUUUAAUAACGCUUCCCACUUUCUACUUCGACUUGACCCUCACUCAACUAAAUGCCAGCCUAUCUUUCUCCUUGAUUGCAAUCACACAUUUGCCCUUUAACCAUAUCGUUAUUGACGACUUGUCACAAAAUACCUAUUUUAGCUAUAUAUAUAUAUCCUAUGUUUACACACACACACACAAAACACAAGAACAGCUAAGAAACAAAAAAAUAACAAAAAGUU